This 1107-nucleotide long non-coding RNA is filed under the name Chinchilla lanigera (long-tailed chinchilla). RNAcentral's name for it is "lncRNA (ENSCLAG00000024021.1)". The record is from RNAcentral. Lineage: Eukaryota; Metazoa; Chordata; Mammalia; Rodentia; Chinchillidae.
GUACCACAUGGAGCUGAGAAGGACCAAUUCCCUUCCGCAAAUCGCUGAAAUGUUAAUGUGAACCUAGAGCAAAUGCCACAUUCCCUCCAGUCCUGGCAGCAGGUGUCAGCCUGUACCCCUGUGGUGGUCUCAGCGUUUCUCAGGCCAGCUUCUCUUCACACCCAUGACAACUGCACCCAACCAGGGACCACAGGAGCCACGGGCCUCCCCUGCCUGGGCCUCCCCAAGAGGUCAGCGUCAGAAUACACUACCAGAACACAUGGAUCCAGCCGAUACCUGCAGAAGCAGCGGCCAGAAAUUAGCAACCCAAACACCAGCACCACCUCAGACAGGACCUGGCACUGUCGUGACCACUUACUGAGGAUGCUCAAUGUACAGGCACAGGGAGGCUGUGCAGGGUGUGAGCCCUGUCCUGGCCUCAGGAGAGAGCCCAGGCCCCAGGGUCCAGCACCCACGAGCAAAAGACACGACCAAGGCCAUCUUCGUGCCAGGAUCACCAUGCUGCCUUCCCUCAAGAGGAGCCGAGACCAGGCCUUUCACACCCCACCCUGGCGCUCCUUCCCUGAGAGCUGUUCAUCUGCUUUGGUGCAUUCCCUUUAAGUCCCUGCUGUUGAGAUUCCCCUGCAGGACCUGGAGCAGGAGGAGCCCUCCAUGAUAAUGAGCAUCUGCUCAGGAAUCUGUUACCUUUGGGGCCCUGAAGAGGCCACAGCUGCUGCAAGGGUAAGAGGAGUGGGUCCUGUGUGGUGAGUGUCACUGGGAGGAGUGUGGCAGAGUGGGCAGGAUGGCGUUGUCACCUGACUGAGAUAAUUUCUGUUAAUGAAUUUGGCUCCAACCUCAAAUUUCUACCUCCUGAACUUCUUAAGUUUACCUUCUGUUUUACCAUCUUUUGGUUGUAGGAAAUGUACAGGUGCCUGGCUGUGGGUUGUGUUGCUUAGGUGUUCAGGUGCCUGUGCACCAUUCCCUUCCUUUCCUCUUGAGUUGGUGUGCACAAACAAGAAUGAAUGAGCUUGUUUGAUCCUGUCUUACCUCUUAGAGGUAAUUUUAAGUGUUUCUUGUUUAUUUUUAUGCUGUUUAUGCAAUUAUCAUAAAAAUAAAAAUUCUUAUCAC